AACUUUUAACAACGGAUCACUAAGUGGGUGGGUUCCAGCAGCAAUGGUAUCGGCACCAUUGGCGAUUCGGUAAUUCUGGAAUCUUCAGUGGCAACCAUUGGCAUUGGCACAAAUCCCUUCGCUGACUUUAGGCUCGGCGUUGACGGCGGCACUACAAUCUCUGGGGGCGUAUUCGGCUCGUCUAGCGUAUUCAACGGUACGGGUCUAAGAGGUCGGGCAUUACAUCCAAAUUCUGGCACAGGUGUAUCGGGCUUCGGGACUACCGGUCUGUUCGGACAAACCCUCGGUAAUAAUCCGAACGGCAAUAACAUCGGUGUCUGGGGAGUCUCAGCAAACAGCAGUGGCAUUGGCGUCAGAGGGCAGAACACCUCUGGCGGAUUGGCGGGCAAAUUUGAUGGUGAUGUGGCGAUCAUUGGCAACUUAAGCAUAUCAAUAAGCGGAGGCU
RNAcentral lists this unclassified non-coding RNA (445 nucleotides) under uncultured Ascomycota. Its description in RNAcentral is "sequence contains ITS2". The record is from RNAcentral. Lineage: Eukaryota; Fungi; Ascomycota.